This 433-nucleotide ribosomal RNA is filed under the name uncultured bacterium. RNAcentral's name for it is "partial 16S ribosomal RNA". It matches the Rfam family "Bacterial small subunit ribosomal RNA", at positions 29 to 507 of the family's 1533-position model. The record is from RNAcentral.
AACGAACGCUGGCGGCAUGCCUAACAUAUGCAAGUCAAACGAGACCUUCGGGUCUAGUGGCGCACGGGUGCGUAACGCGUGGGAACCUGCCCUUAGGUUCGGAAUAACUCCCCGAAAGGGGUGCUAAUACCGGAUAAUGUCUUCGGACCAAAGAUUUAUCGCCUUUGGAUGGGCCCGCGUUGGAUUAGCUAGUUGGUAGGGUAAAAGCCUACCAAGGCGACGAUCCAUAGCUGGUCUGAGAGGAUGAUCAGCCACACUGGGACUGAGACACGGCCCAGACUCCUACGGGAGGAAGCAGUGGGGAAUAUUGGACAAUGGGCGAAAGCAUGAUCCAGCAAUGCCGCGUGAGUGAUGAAGGCCUUAGGGUUGUAAAGCUCUUUUACCCGGGAUGAUAAUGACAGUACCGGGAGAAUAAGCCCCGGCUAACUCCGUG